RNAcentral lists this ribosomal RNA (250 nucleotides) under uncultured archaeon. RNAcentral describes it as "partial 16S ribosomal RNA". It matches the Rfam family "Archaeal small subunit ribosomal RNA", at positions 474 to 723 of the family's 1478-position model. The record is from RNAcentral.
CACCGGCGCCACAAGUGGUCAUCACGAUUAUUGGGCCUAAAGCGUCCGUAGCUGGUGCGGUGCAUCCCUUGUGAAAUCGUUCGGCUUAACCGAACGGCGCGCAGGGGGCACGGCCGCGCUCGAGACCGGGAGGGGGCAGAAGUAUUCCAUAGGGACCGGUAAAAUGGGAUAAUCUAUGGAGGACUACCGAUGGCGAAGGCAUCUGCCCAGAACGGAUCUGACAGUGAGGGACGAAAGCCAGGGGAGCGAA